Molecule: ribosomal RNA, 465 nt
Filed under: uncultured bacterium
Lineage: Bacteria
Description: partial 16S ribosomal RNA
Rfam family: Bacterial small subunit ribosomal RNA
Source: RNAcentral
CCUACGGGAGGCAGCAGUAGGGAAUCUUCCACAAUGGGCGCAAGCCUGAUGGAGCAACACCGCGUGAGUGAAGAAGGGUUUCGGCUCGUAAAGCUCUGUUGUUGGAGAAGAACGUGCGUGAGAGUAACUGUUCACGCAGUGACGGUAUCCAACCAGAAAGUCACGGCUAACUACGUGCCAGCAGCCGCGGUAAUACGUAGGUGGCAAGCGUUAUUCGGAUUUAUUGGGCGUAAAGCGAGCGCAGGCGGUUGCUUAGGUCUGAUGUGAAAGCCUUCGGCUUAACCGAAGAAGUGCAUCGGAAACCGGGCAACUUGAGUGCAGAAGAGGACAGUGGAACUCCAUGUGUAGCGGUGGAAUGCGUAGAUAUAUGGAAGAACACCAGUGGCGAAGGCGGCUGUCUGGUCUGCAACUGACGCUGAGGCUCGAAAGCAUGGGUAGCGAACAGGAUUAGAUACCCGGGUAGUC